RNAcentral lists this long non-coding RNA (425 nucleotides) under Volvox carteri. RNAcentral describes it as "long non-coding RNA (VCAR_LNC002107)". Lineage: Eukaryota; Viridiplantae; Chlorophyta; Chlorophyceae; Chlamydomonadales; Volvocaceae. The record is from RNAcentral.
ACAGGAUUGCGUUACGACCCACUGUGUUAUAGCUGCACAAUAUUGUGCUACAACUGUACAACAUUGUGCUAUAACUGCACAACAGCUGUUUGUUUACAGAUUCGAUGGGCACUUUGGAUAAUGCCUAGUGCACCGCAGCGCACAUUUUUCUAUACUAUAUAACGCAUUCAGAUAGCGCAUUUGCAGAAUGCUGCCAAUGGGGACAAGGGUCAAUUGCAGAGAUAUAGAGGAAUGCGAACAUGACUUUUAGGUCUUCAAAUAUUAUACCUAAGCCUAAAAUAUCUUUUAUCAUGUAAGCUAUUCGAAUGCGUUUCUUCGCCAAAGUUCCCUGCUACCAUCUCUUCCAGAAAGUUUGCUUCGUGGAGCUCCACGCAGCUGCAGCCUUACAAAGAUUUUACAAUGCCUUUAAAAUUGUUGGUUCGAUG